Molecule: ribosomal RNA, 279 nt
Filed under: uncultured bacterium
Lineage: Bacteria
Description: partial 16S ribosomal RNA
Rfam family: Bacterial small subunit ribosomal RNA
Source: RNAcentral
UGCCAGCAGCCGCGGUAAUACGGAGGGUGCGAGCGUUAAUCGGAAUCACUGGGCGUAAAGCGUACGUAGGUGGCAAAGUCAGUCAGGCGUGAAAGCCCUCGGCUCAACCGAGGAAUUGCGUUUGAUACUACUUUGCUAGAGUCUCGGAGAGGUUGGCGGAAUUCCAGGUGUAGGAGUGAAAUCCGUAGAUAUUCGGAGGAACACCAGUGGCGAAGGCGGCUUUCUGGACCGAUACUGACGCUGAGGUACGAAAGCGUGGGUAGCAAACAGGAUUAGAUA